Molecule: ribosomal RNA, 591 nt
Filed under: Klebsiella pneumoniae
Lineage: Bacteria; Pseudomonadati; Pseudomonadota; Gammaproteobacteria; Enterobacterales; Enterobacteriaceae
Description: bacterial LSU rRNA
Rfam family: Bacterial large subunit ribosomal RNA
Source: RNAcentral
CGAACGGGGAGCAGCCCAGAGUCUGAAUCAGCUUGUGUGUUAGUGGAACGGUCUGGAAAGUCCGACGGUACAGGGUGAUAGUCCCGUACACCAAAAUGCACAGGCUGUGAACUCGAAGAGUAGGGCGGGACACGUGGUAUCCUGUCUGAAUAUGGGGGGACCAUCCUCCAAGGCUAAAUACUCCUGACUGACCGAUAGUGAACCAGUACCGUGAGGGAAAGGCGAAAAGAACCCCGGCGAGGGGAGUGAAAAAGAACCUGAAACCGUGUACGUACAAGCAGUGGGAGCACCUUCGGGUGUGACUGCGUACCUUUUGUAUAAUGGGUCAGCGACUUAUAUUCUGUAGCAAGGUUAACCGUAUAGGGGAGCCGCAGGGAAACCGAGUCUUAACUGGGCGUUAAGUUGCAGGGUAUAGACCCGAAACCCGGUGAUCUAGCCAUGGGCAGGUUGAAGGUUGGGUAACACUAACUGGAGGACCGAACCGACUAAUGUUGAAAAAUUAGCGGAUGACUUGUGGCUGGGGGUGAAAGGCCAAUCAAACCGGGAGAUAGCUGGUUCUCCCCGAAAGCUAUUUAGGUAGCGCCUCGUGAA